RNAcentral lists this ribosomal RNA (253 nucleotides) under uncultured bacterium. RNAcentral's name for it is "partial 16S ribosomal RNA". It matches the Rfam family "Bacterial small subunit ribosomal RNA", at positions 524 to 776 of the family's 1533-position model. The record is from RNAcentral.
UACGGAGGGGGCUAGCGUUGCUCGGAAUCACUGGGCGUAAAGGGUGCGUAGGCGGGUUAUUAAGUCAGAGGUGAAAUCCUGGAGCUCAACUCCAGAACUGCCUUUGAUACUGAUAGUCUUGAGUAUGGGAGAGGUGAGUGGAACUGCGAGUGUAGAGGUGAAAUUCGUAGAUAUUCGCAAGAACACCAGUGGCGAAGGCGGCUCACUGGCCCAUUACUGACGCUGAGGCACGAAAGCGUGGGGAGCAAACAGG